Molecule: transfer RNA, 73 nt
Filed under: Nematocida parisii ERTm3
Lineage: Eukaryota; Fungi; Microsporidia
Description: tRNA-Asp (GTC) (tRNA-Asp-GTC-2-1)
Rfam family: tRNA
About the family: Transfer RNA (tRNA) molecules are approximately 80 nucleotides in length. Their secondary structure includes four short double-helical elements and three loops (D, anti-codon, and T loops). Further hydrogen bonds mediate the characteristic L-shaped molecular structure. tRNAs have two regions of fundamental functional importance: the anti-codon, which is responsible for specific mRNA codon recognition, and the 3' end, to which the tRNAs corresponding amino acid is attached (by aminoacyl-tRNA synthetases). tRNAs cope with the degeneracy of the genetic code in two manners: having more than one tRNA (with a specific anti-codon) for a particular amino acid; and 'wobble' base-pairing, i.e. permitting non-standard base-pairing at the 3rd anti-codon position.
Source: Rfam by way of RNAcentral
UCUUUCAUGGUGUAGUGGUUAUCAUUCUCGCUUGUCACGCGGGGGGACCAGGGUUCGAUUCCCUGUGAGAGAG